RNAcentral lists this ribosomal RNA (388 nucleotides) under uncultured bacterium. Its description in RNAcentral is "bacterial SSU rRNA". It matches the Rfam family "Bacterial small subunit ribosomal RNA", at positions 27 to 417 of the family's 1533-position model. The record is from RNAcentral.
GGACGAACGCUGGCGGCGUGCUUAACACAUGCAAGUCGAGCGGUAAGGCCCUUUCGGGGUACACGAGCGGCGAACGGGUGAGUAACACGUGGGUGACCUGCCCUCAGCUCUGGGAUAAGCCUGGGAAACCGGGUCUAAUACUGGAUAUGACUCCAUGACGCAUGUUGUGGGGUGGAAAGCCUUGUGCGGCUGAGGAUGGGCCCGCGGCCUAUCAGCUUGUUGGUGGGGUGAUGGCCUACCAAGGCGACGACGGGUAGCCGGCCUGAGAGGGCGACCGGCCACACUGGGACUGAGACACGGCCCAGACUCCUACGGGAGGCAGCAGUGGGGAAUCUUGCGCAAUGGGCGAAAGCCUGACGCAGCGACGCCGCGUGAGGGAUGACGGCCU